AGAGUUUGAUCCUGGCUCAGAACGAACGCUGGCGGCGCGUUUUAAGCAUGCAAGUCGAACGGUAGAGUUCCUUCGGGAACUUGAGAGUGGCGAACGGGUGAGUAACACGUAGAUGAUCUGCCUUGAAGUUGGGGAUAGCCCAUAGAAAUAUGGGGUAAUACCGGAUAAUACCUUAGAACUCUGGUUUUUUGGUGAAAGGGGCUUCGGCCUCGCUUUAAGAUGAGUCUGCGGCUUAUUAGCUAGUUGGUAGGGUAAAAGCCUAUAGCCGGCCUGAGAGGGUGACCGGCCACAUUGGGACUGAGACACGGCCCAGACUCCUACGGGAGGCAGCAGCUAAGAAUCUUCCGCAAUGGGCGAAAGCCUGACGGAGCGACGCCGCGUGGGUGAAGAAGGCGGAGACGUUGUAAAGCCCUUUUCUCACAGAAGAAUAAGUUUCAGAGGUAAUGCUGGAGCGAUGACGUUAUGUGAGGAAUAAGCACCGGCCAAUUACGUGCCAGCAGCCGCGGUAACACGUAAGGUGCGAGCGUUGUUCGGAAUUAUUGGGCGUAAAGGGCUCGUAGGCGGCCUACCAAGUCUCACGUGAAAGACCAGGGCUCAACCCUGGGAACGCGAGAGAAACUGGUAAGCUGGAAUCUUGGAGGGGGUACUGGAAUUCCUGGUGUAGGGGUGAAAUCUGUUGAUAUCAGGAAGAACACCGGAGGCGAAGGCGAGUACCUGGCCAAAGAUUGACGCUGAUGAGCGAAAGCGUAGGGAGCGAACAGGAUUAGAUACCCUGGUAGUCUACGCCGUAAACGAUGUGCACUUGGUGGCGGUCCCGUCCGGGAUCGCUGCCGGAGCUAACGCAUUAAGUGCACCGCCUGGGGAGUACGCCGGCAACGGUUAAACUCAAAGGAAUUGACGGGGGCCCGCACAAGCGGUGGAGCAUGUGGUUUAAUUCGAUGAUACGCGAGAAACCUUACCAGGGCUUGAC
This 970-nucleotide ribosomal RNA is filed under the name marine sediment metagenome. Its description in RNAcentral is "bacterial SSU rRNA". It matches the Rfam family "Bacterial small subunit ribosomal RNA", at positions 8 to 985 of the family's 1533-position model. The record is from RNAcentral.